AAUUCAAAAAAGAAAAUUAAACAAACCAUACCAAUAGAAAACAAAUCAGGGAUAAGAAGCUGCAAAAAUCAAAUUUACAGAAAAGAAUCUAUCUAUUUGUUUAUCCAAUAAAUUUUCUAUCAAACCAGAAGCUUCACAUGAUACAUAAACUAUGCACACUGACUUUGUAAGAGAAUGAAAAAAGACUUGGAUGGAAUUGGACAAAAGGAUGAACAAAGAAAGGAGCUACUGAUCAAUCUAUCUACAAUGUUGAACUCCAACAUGAUCUGCUCUCAUCUCAAGCAAGACCCUGCAUUAUUUCAAACAUAAUUUUUUCCAUAUGUUGCUGAUCUUGAACAUGAUAAUUUGAAAAGCCGCGAAUCUUGGUCAAGUGUUCCCAAGCUGCCACUAGGUAAACACAAAAGACUCAAGGGAGAGUUCCUUAUAAUGUGUAUGCUAUACCUUUGGGCUACGAUCAUUUAUUGGUGUCAUAUACAGAGCCGAGCUACUUACUUCUUCUGAGUUCUCUUCUACAUUAGAUGCACUUCCUAGAGUGGAGCUCUUUACACUUUCUUUUUCUUGUUCAAGUGAAAACCAGAAAGGUUCAUAAUCAGUUCUCCCACCUUCAUCCUUGUUUUUGAAAUUUUUCUCCAUGCUAUCGCCAUUCAUAUUCUGCGAAAUUUCUGCCUGUGCAGUUCCUUUAUCUUCUGCAAAGUUAUCUCCCACCUCAGUAUCAAUUGUCUCCUUUAAGCUGGUGAUGCUCCGCAUUUGCUCACCAGAAUCAGAAUAAGCAUCUCUGGUCCAUUCCCUGCUUUUUAAAGUAUCAUCUAUCUCCUCAUAUUCCAAAUUCCGCAAAAUUUCAGGAAGUGAUAGGCCACUAUCCUCUGGAAACAUUGUUCCCAUCUCAAUAUCUAUCUUCUCUUUUGAGCUAUGGAUAUUUCCCACAAAGUUGGAAGUUGUUGGCUCAACCAUUACAAUGUCAUUUUCUUUAAAAACUGCUCGAAAAUUAUUCAAGGAGGGUGGGAUCUUGGAAAAGAAAACUUCUUUGAUAUUUUCAAUUGACCCCCUAUUAUAGGGAUUCUCCUUCUUAUCAUAUCGAUACCUGAAGUUCUCAUAAGUAGUCUGGUUAGUGCUAAUCAGGUAAAAAUGGAAAAUAGUAAGGCCACCAACAAACCAAACAGCAAUGAAGCAGUAUAUAAUGAGAACAUCUGACAAGAUAUCUUGUGAAAUAGCUCUCCAUAAGUUGCCGCCACGAUGAAGGAUAUUGACCAAGGAUAUGACAAAG
Molecule: unclassified non-coding RNA, 1264 nt
Filed under: Hevea brasiliensis (rubber tree)
Lineage: Eukaryota; Viridiplantae; Streptophyta; Magnoliopsida; Malpighiales; Euphorbiaceae
Source: RNAcentral